CGCUCUUUUAAUGUAGAGAAAAUAGAAAAUAGAUGUUUAUAUAAACAGCUAAUAGAAUUAUGAUAGUGAUUUUAAAAAUAACAAGCGAAUCAUGAGAUUCUAUUAUAUUUCUCGACAGUCUGGAUUCUAUUAUAUUUCUCGACUUACGUCUCUGCAGCUGGAUCAGGCUUUAUUAGGAGCUCUGAUCGAGAGAUGGAAACGGAAGACCUAGACUUUUCACUUCCGCCACGGUGAGAUGACGAUUACACUUAAAAAUAUGGCGGUUAUUUCUAGUCUUCGUAUCGAUGGAACGCCUGUCACUGGGACUAUAGUGUAUCCGUGGCCAGAGAUAUAUCAGGCGCUUUUAGGGAUUGUGCCGGAUUACAUUCGAGCUAGUCAGAUUUGAUUAGAUUGGAUAUACCAGCACUUCCACCAUAUACAUUUGGAUGCCUUUGCUGGAUUAGUUGCAGCCACAGCACGUGCAUAUAUGUUAUAUCAGAUUGGCUGUAAUCUAUUUCCAAACCCCACCGGAUAUAGAGUUCACUUUAAGUGGCUGUCACUUUUAGCGGAUUUUGAUGCAUGUGGCGGUUUAGCCUGGGGUGCAGCAGCAUUGGCCUAUCUUUAUCAAGUAUUGGGAUCGGCUUCAUUAAAAGGAAAGGUGGACGAACGCCGGCGGGUUACAUUUUAGAGCAAACGUCCGGACGACGGAUAUUGAGUUCUACCGAGAUGAGUUAGAUGAGUAUAGAGUCCCAGAUACGUAUUAAUGCAACCAUUAUUUUCAAUAUACAAACGUACUAAUACAUUCAGCUGACUAUUAUUGACUUUUGCACAUAUUAUAUGGUGGCCGUAUACAGAUGCUAUUAUAGCUGCGCUACCGGCAUUCUGUGUAUAGGGCAGUGAGGUUUGGCGAUCGAGGACGACACUGAUUUCUUUCCAUAUUAUUGAGCUUCACGCCCCGGAUCAAGUCCUACGGCAGUUUGGUCUCCUCCAGCAUAUACCCAUUCACGUGGAGACCAUCAUCCAUUGUAUCACUUCUCUUGGGCGGCCAGAUGAGGAUUGAGCCCACUUUCAUGUUGCACACAUCGAGAGAUAGGGACAGAGAUUACAGGUUAUUAUUGACCAGCUGUCGAUUGUCGGUGAAGACCCGAUACAGACGACCUCUGUUUAUAUGCAGUGGUAUAGGCAGAUUACGAGAAGAUGGAUUUCUCGUCCGGUGGAUGCAUUACGACAGACUCAGUAUAGCAUCGAAGAACUAGUUCAUGAUUCACCUUCUUACGGUACGAUGCUGGAGACAUUGACGGGCAUGUAUGCCCAUAUUGAAUUAGUGCUGGAGCACAUUCCUUACAUACCUGUCGUCGCUAUGUUGGAGGUCGAGAUUUUGGUCAUGUCUCGACAUCGGGUCAUCACAGGAGACAAUCACCGACUCCUACUGGAUCUUACUCGACAUCGAGCCUGCGAGUGUUACGAUCUCCAUCUCCUACUGAUGUUGCAGAUAUGCCCGCCGCCCCUUCGAGAUUUCUUUUUUUGACAUUGGACUUGGAUUUACUUCCACCGUGAGUCUCUCGAGUGCGUCAUCAUCACAGCCCCGCCCAGCAUCUACACCGACCACUAUCGAGGGUGAUCGACCUGAGCCAGAGGAGACUCAGGCAAUUCCGGAGCAUCCCGAGAGUAUUAUCAUUGCGGAUCUUAAUCAGCUGGCCGAUAUCGAGACACUUGAUGACGUAAAUAUUGCUGACCUUGAUGUGGCUCGUGGCCGUAGACGUGGACAUGGCCGAGGACGUCGAAGGAGAGGAAGAUCGAGAGACUGAUUGUAUAUUAUUGAUUUAGAUCGCAUAUUUUGUAUAAUAUUAUAUAAUACUUUAUUUAGUUCAUAUUUUUA
Ananas comosus (pineapple) is the source of this 1858-nucleotide long non-coding RNA. RefSeq lists it as uncharacterized. The record is from RefSeq and is a predicted model, not a curated record. The transcript has 3 exons. Lineage: Eukaryota; Viridiplantae; Streptophyta; Magnoliopsida; Poales; Bromeliaceae.